RNAcentral lists this transfer RNA (71 nucleotides) under Bertelyvirus sp. RNAcentral describes it as "tRNA-Gln". It matches the Rfam family "tRNA". From Rfam's summary of the family: Transfer RNA (tRNA) molecules are approximately 80 nucleotides in length. Their secondary structure includes four short double-helical elements and three loops (D, anti-codon, and T loops). RNAcentral also lists the same sequence under 5 other names. Lineage: Duplodnaviria; Heunggongvirae; Uroviricota; Caudoviricetes; Jeanschmidtviridae. The record is from RNAcentral.
UGAAGCAUGGUGUAAUGGUAGCACAUCAGAGUUUGGUUCUGGGAGUCUAGGUUCGAGUCCUAGUGCUUCAG